This 264-nucleotide long non-coding RNA is filed under the name Trifolium pratense (red clover). Its description in RNAcentral is "long non-coding RNA (TPRA_LNC005968)". Lineage: Eukaryota; Viridiplantae; Streptophyta; Magnoliopsida; Fabales; Fabaceae. The record is from RNAcentral.
GGCGAUGCCUAAGGUAAGUGUCAGAGAGCAUUUGGUAGUGCCCACAAGAUAAGAGUGAGUAAGUAUUUGCUAAGGAAUUUGGAUUCAUGGAAUGGAAGAGUCGGUAAAGACUAGUGAUGUUAGAUGCAUCGUGGAUGUUGAUGUGGUAUGGUCACAAUCGGUGACAAUGAAGUAAAGGAUUUUAAAUUGUUUCAUCAUGGAUGAUGAAACGGUAGUGACUUGGUGCAUAACUUAAAAUGUAUUUGGACGAGAAUUUUGGAAAUU